This 1382-nucleotide ribosomal RNA is filed under the name Salmonella enterica subsp. enterica serovar Thompson. Its description in RNAcentral is "partial 23S ribosomal RNA". It matches the Rfam family "Bacterial large subunit ribosomal RNA", at positions 1169 to 2580 of the family's 2925-position model. The record is from RNAcentral. Lineage: Bacteria; Pseudomonadati; Pseudomonadota; Gammaproteobacteria; Enterobacterales; Enterobacteriaceae.
GAUGUAACGGGGCUAAACCAUGCACCGAAGCUGCGGCAGCGAACGUAUCACUUAAAGCGAUUCAGCGGGUUCGAUUGACGGAGCGAAGCGACGUCAAAGCGUAUACAAAGUCGAGUCGGUUUAAGGAUACGUUCGUUGGGUAGGGGAGCGUUCUGUAAGCCUGCGAAGGUGGCCUGUGAGGGUUGCUGGAGGUAUCAGAAGUGCGNAGACCAAGGGUUCCUGUCCAACGUUAAUCGGGGCAGGGUGAGUCGACCCCUAAGGCGAGGCCGAAAGGCGUAGUCGAUGGGAAACNNNNNNNNNNNNNNNCUGGUUUUCCAGGCAAAUCCGGAAAAUCAAGGCUGAGGCGUGACGACGAGGCACUACGGUGCUGAAGCAACAAAUGCCCUGCUUCCAGGAAAAGCCUCUAAGCAUCAGGUAACACGAAAUCGUACCCCAAACCGACACAGGUGGUCAGGUAGAGAAUACCAAGGCGCUUGAGAGAACUCGGGUGAAGNGAACUAGGCAAAAUGGUGCCGUAACUUCGGGAGAAGGCACGCUGACACGUAGGUGAAGUGAUUUACUCAUGGAGCUGAAGUCAGUCGAAGAUACCAGCUGGCUGCAACUGUUUAUUAAAAACACAGCACUGUGCAAACACGAAAGUGGACGUAUACGGUGUGACGCCUGCCCGGUGCCGGAAGGUUAAUUGAUGGGGUCAGCGCAAGCGAAGCUCCUGAUCGAAGCCCCGGUAAACGGCGGCCGUAACUAUAACGGUCCUAAGGUAGCGAAAUUCCUUGUCGGGUAAGUUCCGACCUGCACGAAUGGCGUAAUGAUGGCCAGGCUGUCUCCACCCGAGACUCAGUGAAAUUGAACUCGCUGUGAAGAUGCAGUGUACCCGCGGCAAGACGGAAAGACCCCGUGAACCUUUACUAUAGCUUGACACUGAACAUUGAGCCUUGAUGUGUAGGAUAGGUGGGAGGCUUUGAAGCGUGGACGCCAGUCUGCGUGGAGCCGACCUUGAAAUACCACCCUUUAAUGUUUGAUGUUCUAACGUGGACCCGUAAUCCGGGUUGCGGACAGUGUCUGGUGGGUAGUUUGACUGGGGCGGUCUCCUCCUAAAGAGUAACGGAGGAGCACGAAGGUUGGCUAAUCCUGGUCGGACAUCAGGAGGUUAGUGCAAUGGCAUAAGCCAGCUUGACUGCGAGCGUGACGGCGCGAGCAGGUGCGAAAGCAGGUCAUAGUGAUCCGGUGGUUCUGAAUGGAAGGGCCAUCGCUCAACGGAUAAAAGGUACUCCGGGGAUAACAGGCUGAUACCGCCCAAGAGUUCAUAUCGACGGCGGUGUUUGGCACCUCGAUGUCGGCUCAUCACAUCCUGGGGCUGAAGUAGGUCCCAAGGGUAUGGCUGU